This 170-nucleotide ribosomal RNA is filed under the name Bathygobius cotticeps (cheekscaled frill-goby). RNAcentral describes it as "partial small subunit ribosomal RNA". The record is from RNAcentral. Lineage: Eukaryota; Metazoa; Chordata; Actinopteri; Gobiiformes; Gobiidae.
CACCGCGGUUAUACGAAAGGCUCAAGUUGACAAAGAUCGGCGUAAAGAGUGGUUAAUAGAAUAUUAAACUAAAGCCGAACGCCAUCAAGACCGUUAUACGUCCCCGAUAGGUGGGAAGCCCCACAACGAAAGUGGCUUUAAACACUAUUGAACCCACGAAAGCUAGGAAA